Molecule: unclassified non-coding RNA, 170 nt
Filed under: uncultured fungus
Lineage: Eukaryota; Fungi
Description: sequence contains ITS1
Source: RNAcentral
GUGAAAUAACCUGGGACUUGACGUCCCAAACCAUCUCACAUCCACACACCUUUGUGCACUGUUGAAUGGGUCUAAUAAAUAUAUAUAUAUUUCUUUGGCCUAUUCUAUUAUUUUACAAACAUCUUAUGUAUGUAAGGAAAGUGUUAUCAAAAGAAAUAAAAAAAUAAUAA